CAAACGCAAGGGGAAACAGGUUGCGUUCAGUUGAUUCAGUGAAAGAGGUAAUUGCUCUUCGGGGUUUGGCAGAGUUUAGAGGUAAUUGCGCUUCCUACCUGUUGGGGGAGGGCGCCGGCGCGUCCGGGCAGCAGGACUAGCGGAGGACGCGCGACUAGGAGGAGCGGUGGCGGGAGGAGGAGGGCGCGCGAGGGCGGCAGGGCGGCGACUGGGGCCGGUAAGCGGAGCUGGGCGCCCAGCGCGCGUCCUCGCCGUUGCUCCACGACACCGUCGAGGGGGGUCCGGGCGGCGCGCGGCGGUACAAGUAGCGGGGGCCUACGUGGUAGGCGCGGUGGCUGAAGAAGCUGCGGAGGGGGCCGACGGGCGCGACGCGCCCCGAGGGGCUCCUCGCGGCCAAGUGCGCGCUCCGCGAGGCGGCUCCGAUGCGGCAGGAGCGGCAGAGGUCGGCGCGGCUCACGACCAGGGAGCUGGGGCGGAGGCGGAGGCCGCUGCCGUCGCUCGAGCGGCGGCAGUCAAGGUAGUAGCUUACCACCCAGUUCCUCGUCGUGGGGCUCGAGCCGCCGGAGGGCGAGCAGCCGUAGCCGCGCAGCAGCCCGCCCAUGAAGCAGAGGCGAGACCGCCGCUCCCAGUCCAAGUCGUCGCACCGGUAGCACUAACGGCUCCCGCACAAGCGGCGGUACCUCCUUUAGGGCGGGCCGAUGGGCGGCCGCGACAAGCACGUGUACGGGUCCCUGCGGUUUUCCCGCGUCUACCACCGCCGUUCGUAUCCGUUCGAGUUCAGUUGCGUGCAACUACACGCCCUCUAGGUCACGCUACGGAAACGGCACUCACGGCUGAAGAACCGCCGCUCCUAUGGCCCCAACUGGGGCUGGCAGCGGCUACCGGAACACCUGCACGAAGCGGUCUUCAGCAAGAACCUACUCUUCCCCAAAGACUUCUUGCUACCCUCCUCGUGUGGCACCUUUCUCCGCCGCCUCCUUCGGUUCUAGAACGGCCUCCCCAAGGCCGACCUCUCCGUACAGUGCCUCCUCAACUUAUAACGUAUACGUAUGGUACUUAAAUGGUCGGACGUCUUACUCCUCUAGAAGUUUACCAAGCUAAGGGUGUACCUAGUGUUCUAAACUUCUGUGUAGUAAAGAUCUACCGGUUGAACUACAGCCUAAGUACCUCUCAACGACCAAAACUCUCCUACGUGGCAAUACUAAGUACCCUCCACCUUUCUUUCGUGUUAUAAGACAUUCCAAAUAGGAGUUUCGAACAUCAAAUUGUAUCGGAAUACCUUAUGCCAAAGAGUGUCCCAGUACAAAAGGAAACGGUAACACCAAUGACGGAAUAACCACAGUGUUCGUUUACCCACUUGACGGGAGUAAUAACAAUGACAACAUUGAGUAGGGUGUCUUUACACACAAUUAUGACAUCUUUUGCUAUCAUAUUGAAAACUAUUUAAAUAGGAGAGACUCGUUCAGGAAAAAACACGUCGGUGUAAAAAGGCUGAGGUGAACCUAUAGAACAGUAUCACAAUCCAAGACUGAUUGAAUGUCAUAUAGAGAAAACACAACUCAUCCUAUUGUAAAAGAAAACAUUCAUAUAUUGAUUAUGUCUUCGGUACGAAUCAGUCAUCCCUACGUCCACCUGCAGGGACGGCAAAGGCACAGACAGGCGCGGCCUGGUUCUACAUACAUGAUUAGAGACAACGACAUUAUAAGCACGAUUACGACUUUACUAAUUGCGCCUGGAUAAUCAGUCAGUGAUCUUUUUAACUAUCAGUUAAAACAAUGCUGAUAAACCACAAGUUUGAAGUUUCAUCACGUAGGCCUCUAUACUAGUAACGUCAAAAAAGAAAAUAUACAUCAAUAAUGAGACAAUGAACGUCACAAUAGAACAUACAUUCACCUAUCACAGUUAAGUAACUAUUUGUUAGUCAGUCGUCAACUCGUGGCUGUAGACGUUUUUUUACAAACUUUAGUGAAUAGCCAUCGAUACACGUAGAUGUCGUUAUUUGUUGUUUUUUCUUACGAUAAUGAUUUAAGCAGGUAAAUUGACCUGUAAGUCUAUAAUAAUUAAUGGAGAGUGGGUUGGAAUGGAAAUGGGUUCAUUACUAGAAACAAAGAAGGUCUUCGAGAACUAAAACAAGGGUUAAGUAAAAAUGUGUGGAAAAUAGUAUAAAUAAGAAUGUAUAAACAGGAAUACGUGCUAAGGUACACAUGACCCUACCCCUAUCUCCUACACCUAACUCGAUAAGCUCUCGUUAAGGAGAAUCCAUCAGAAACGGGGAUGUCAACAAUAUUCACGAACGUAACUUUCCACGAAGCCACUUUCUUCUCUUUGACUAGUAGGUAGAAAAAUUGUGCUCCCGAUGAGAAAACGUCCCUUUAGGCGAAACAUUGUGACUUUUACACAGUUAAUCUUUUUAUAGGGUCACACUCCUACUAAUCACUACGUUACCACAAAAAAACAAUCGUAAGUAUAAGUAAAAUCACAAACGAUCGUUAAAGCUGUCUACGUCUAAUUGAAGAAAAGGGUAAUUUUGCCGGUACUAUGACAGCUCAAUGACUGUAUCAUGUACAAGAUACAGAUCUUAGUUGUCCAAUUUAGGACACUUCUUCUAUUCGUCCCGACUUCAAAAAGGAGGUCCUCUAACUGAGAAAACCUCUUCAUGACUUCCCUUUCGAAGUUGAGUAGAACCUUCAAGAACCCAAAUACACCAUAGUUUGUGGUUAGGGAACAAAAUACACUUGUAACACUUCAAAACACAUGGCUGAUCAACAAACUACUCAAUAGGUUUAAAGACUUACUAAUGUGAACAAAGAGACUGGUAACCGUUGUACACGAAAGCAGUAUCCUAAAAACCCCAAGUUGUCAUUCUAAGUUUCCAACUUGAUACUUUAAAUCCUAUAGUCCCUUUUUCUACCAAAACAAUGUCCUAAAAGACCCUAAGUUCUUGUUCCAAGUAUCCAGGAAAUUGAUACGUUAGCUUCUUAUUGAUUGAAACACCGUAAACGAUCUGACGAAACAGUUAAACGGUUUGGAAACGAUCAGUUCAAACCGGUAAGGUAACGUCAAAACAAUACGGUAUCAAAGAACGAUACAUCGUGUGGACAGCAUCUGGGUUACAAAACGUUUUGAACGGAUACCACACCGCUUGUCAAACAAUCGUUGUACUUCACAAACGAACGGUGUAAAACGGUGUUCCGGUGUUCAUCCACACCACUAUAAAUCUCAUAUGUUGGUUUGACGAGAUUUGUCGACUGUAAAUAUUUGAAGAAUACAACAUUUGACUCAUCGUGAUCAGACCACAAACUAAAUAAUAACGAGAAAACAUCACAAGCCUCAUGUAUCAAAAAAGAUACACAAUGAUUAGGUCGUAUUAUUGUCACUAUAGUUCGUUACCUUUUCCUACCUAAAUAACGUGAGUUUUACGGUAUCUAUCACUAUAAUGUACUAUUUUGUUGUUUUUAUUUUCUUUAUAUAGUUCGGUGUUCUAUCGUAGUUAGUUCUUUUUACGCGCCCUCCUUCUUUAAAUCGGUUCUUUGUGGCUACUGACUUUGAUCAUCACCUUAAGUAAACGGAAGAACUUUUGGGGUCGAACCCGUCUUCGUCGUGGUAGUCUCCAGUGCCGGUGCUGCUAUGUCAGGAAGUGGACGACCCACCAUUUACCCUUGAAGAACAAGUGUUACCUCAACUCCAUACGUCGACGGGGGAGUGCAUAGUCCCGCGGUUAUGGUAGUCAAGAUCACAAACUCUCACGUAGUACGUAUAAAGGAUCGAAGAACGGUGGAUAGUAUGACGUACGUCGUGGUUUACAGAACGGCUACAACGGCUCCCUGGGUUAUCGACGUUGAUAUCGUAGACCCACUAAGAAGGUCAUCGACGUAAAAUUCGUUUUCUUUUGGUAAAUUCUUGGCAACGAAACACUACAAACUAUGAAGACUAUAGAUGAUUAAGAUCGAGAAUGAGCGUCCUAGGUUACUUGGGUACGAAGAAACCUGAACGUCCCUGUAGUACCCUUCCACGUGAACCCCACGAGCCACAUCACGGUAUUCUACCGCAGCCACAUCACGGCAUUCUACCGCAGCCACAUCACGGCAUUCAACCGCAGCCACAUUACGGCAUUCAACCACAGCCACAUCACGGCAUUCUACCGCAGCCACAUCACGGCAUUCAACCACAGCCACAGUCACAGCCC
RNAcentral lists this ribosomal RNA (4186 nucleotides) under Triticum aestivum (bread wheat). RNAcentral's name for it is "partial small subunit ribosomal RNA". The record is from RNAcentral. Lineage: Eukaryota; Viridiplantae; Streptophyta; Magnoliopsida; Poales; Poaceae.